This is a long non-coding RNA of Papaver somniferum (opium poppy), 922 nucleotides long. RefSeq lists it as uncharacterized. The transcript is spliced from 4 exons. NCBI's taxonomy places the organism in Eukaryota, Viridiplantae, Streptophyta, Magnoliopsida, Ranunculales, Papaveraceae. The record is from RefSeq and is a predicted model, not a curated record.
ACUCAAUUGUGCGAUUUCACAUUUCUUUUUUUCUUUUCUCUCCUUCGACUUUAGUUUCCAACUUCUCCAUUUCGUUCAUGUUGUUCUCCGUAGAAAUUAAUGGAAAACCAAAACUUAAAUUCUAAAAGAGGCGAUAGUAAGAAAAAUUGUGAUUUGUGAUCAAAGAACUCUCUUUAUUCUCUGCAGCUUGAAAAAACCCUAUACAAAUGUUCUCCUGCAACUUGAAAAAACCCUAAGUUUUAAAUUUUGGGUUUCUCGAAGAACAAGAUGAAGUGAGACGCAUGAAUAUCGAUUCAAAACUGAAGACUGCUUCUGAUUUUUAAAAAGGAGAACAUUCAAAGUACCACAAUUAUCAGAUUUGGGUAUUGAGGGGACUUUAUCGACAUGAUGACCGAGUUUUCAUAAGUAAAUCCGGGCUUGAUGACUUCACAGGUUUGCAUUCUACAUUGACACCAGCUUUGGCAGUCGUGAGAGUUUCAGCAAACGAACAAUCUACUGCCAUAAAUCCUCAGGGUAACACAGUAGUUAGGGGCAAUGCAAUAUACAUUCCCCGCCGAGUCCCAGAAUUAUUGAGCAGCUUCAGCAGGGUGAAUCAGUUGAUAUUGAGAAAGAAAGAGGCAAGAAACGCUGCCAUGACUCAGCGUGUUCAGAUAAUGAGAGUACCGAAACAAAAAGGCAAGAAAAGUGCCGCACUUAUGGAACGAACGGAACGGCAGGCGCAUCGCGCGUGCGUGUUAUACUAGUAGAGAAAAAUACGUACCAGGGGAUGUAGCCAAACACAAAUAAAGUAAUGAACAUCUUGCAUCAGAUGCGCGUGCGUGUUAUACUAGUAGAGAAAAAUACGUACCAGGGGAUGUAGCCAAACACAAAUAAAGUAAUGAACAUCUUGCAUCAAAUUACAGUCUCUUGUAGGAGGAAGACA